This 640-nucleotide ribosomal RNA is filed under the name uncultured archaeon. RNAcentral's name for it is "bacterial SSU rRNA". It matches the Rfam family "Archaeal small subunit ribosomal RNA", at positions 102 to 742 of the family's 1478-position model. The record is from RNAcentral.
GGAUAACCUACCCUUAGGACUGGGAUAACCCUGGGAAACUGGGGAUAAUACCGGAUAGGCAAUUUUUCCUGUAAUGGUUUUUUGUUUAAAUGUUUUUUCGCCUAAGGAUGGGUCUGCGGCCGAUUAGGUAGUUGGUUAGGUAAUGGCUUACCAAGCCGUUGAUCGGUACGGGUUGUGAGAGCAAGAGCCCGGAGAUGGAACCUGAGACAAGGUUCCAGGCCCUACGGGGUGCAGCAGGCGCGAAACCUCCGCAAUGUGAGAAAUCGCGACGGGGGGAUCCCAAGUGCCAUUCUUAACGGGAUGGCUUUUCAUUAGUGUAAAGAGCUUUUGGAAUAAGGGCUGGGCAAGACCGGUGCCAGCCGCCGCGGUAACACCGGCAGCUCUAGUGGUAGCAGUUUUUAUUGGGCCUAAAGCGUCCGUAGCCGGUUUAAUAAGUCUCUGGUGAAAUCCUGUAGCUUAACUGUGGGAAUUGCUGGAGAUACUAUUAGACUUGAGACCGGGAGAGGUUAGAGGUACUCCCAGGGUAGAGGUGAAAUUCUGUAAUCCUGGGAGGACCGCCUGUUGCGAAGGCGUCUAACUGGAACGGUUCUGACGGUGAGGGACGAAAGUUAGGGGCGCGAACCGGAUUAGAUACCCGGGU